AGGUAGCAUAAUCAUUUGUUUCUUAAUUGGAAACUGGAAUAAAAGAGGCGAUGAGGGAUAGACUUUUGGGGUAAAAAAUUAAUUUGACAUAAAGGUCAAAAGGCCUUUAUAAACCUGGGGGACGAUAAGACCCUAUAAAACUUUACUCUAAAUUAAAUCUUUGUAGGGUUAGAUUAACUUAAGAGUUGAACUGGGGCGGUUUUUAUUUUUACUAUAAGAAAUUAAAUAUUAAAUAUAGAUUUAUAUAACUUAUUUAAAAAUUUCAACAAGUUACUUUAGGGAUAACAGCAUAAUCCUCUAAGAGAGUACAAAUCGGCAAGAGGGAUUAUGACCUCGAUGUUGAAUUGGGAAAAUUUUCAUGGGCAGUUUUAUGAAAAAUUAGUCUGUUCGACUAUUGAAGUCCC
This 404-nucleotide ribosomal RNA is filed under the name Lirceus hoppinae ozarkensis. RNAcentral's name for it is "partial 16S ribosomal RNA". It matches the Rfam family "Bacterial large subunit ribosomal RNA", at positions 1954 to 2597 of the family's 2925-position model. The record is from RNAcentral. Lineage: Eukaryota; Metazoa; Arthropoda; Malacostraca; Isopoda; Asellidae.